This 253-nucleotide ribosomal RNA is filed under the name uncultured bacterium. Its description in RNAcentral is "partial 16S ribosomal RNA". It matches the Rfam family "Bacterial small subunit ribosomal RNA", at positions 524 to 776 of the family's 1533-position model. The record is from RNAcentral.
UACGUAGGGUGCAAGCGUUGUCCGGAAUUAUUGGGCGUAAAGAGCUCGUAGGCGGCCACUCAAGUCGAAUGUGAAACCUCGAGGCUUAACCUCGAGCCUGCAUUUGAUACUGGGCGGCUAGAGUCUGGUAGGGGGAUCUGGAAUUCCUGGUGUAGCGGUGGAAUGCGCAGAUAUCAGGAGGAACACCGGUGGCGAAGGCGGGAUCCUGGGCCAGUACUGACGCUGAGGAGCGAAAGCGUGGGGAGCAAACAGG